RNAcentral lists this ribosomal RNA (657 nucleotides) under Stephanostomoides tenuis. RNAcentral's name for it is "SSU rRNA". It matches the Rfam family "Eukaryotic small subunit ribosomal RNA", at positions 260 to 832 of the family's 1831-position model. Lineage: Eukaryota; Metazoa; Platyhelminthes; Trematoda; Opisthorchiida; Acanthocolpidae. The record is from RNAcentral.
GAUCGCAGUCGGCCUCGUGUCGGCGACGGAUCUUUCAAAUGUCUGCCCUAUCAAUUUUCGAUGGUAGGUGACCUGCCUACCAUGGUGAUAACGGGUAACGGGGAAUCAGGGUUCGAUUCCGGAGAGGGAGCCUGAGAAACGGCUACCACUUCCAAGGAAGGCAGCAGGCACGCAAAUUACCCAAUCCCGGCACGGGGAGGUAGUGACGAAAAAUACGGAUACGGGACUCAAUAGAGGCUCCGUAAUUCGAAUGAGUACAAUUUAAAUCCUUUAACGAGGAUCAACUGGAGGGCAAGUCUGGUGCCAGCAGCCGCGGUAACUCCAGCUCCAGAAGCGUAUAUUAAAGUUGUUGCAGUUAAAAAGCUCGUAGUUGGAUCUGGGUCGUAUGGCUACAUGCCGUUGCUUGUAUUCGCGGUUCGGUUACGACUGGAUCGUGUUUGCGAGUCGGUGUCGUGGUUGUGCAGCCUUUCUGCCGUGUCUGUUUCGACAGGUGCUUACUGAAUCGGUGAGUUCGUCUUGCUGGUUUGUUUGCAUGCUUCCGUAUGCCUUNUAACGGGUGUCGGGGGCGGACGGCACGUUUACUUUGAACAAUUUGAGUGCUCAAAGCAGGCCCGUGUGCCUGAAAAUUCUUGCAUGGAAUAAUGGAAUAGGACUUCG